UGGCUACAAGAUACAAAGAAAUAAAAACACAUGUUAACAGUUACUUCUAUGUAGAAAAUUACUACAAGAAACAAAACAGAAAAAAUACAUGUAAUAAGUUACUACUGUGUAGAAUAAAAAUAAAAGAGGAUCAUAAUGCAUGUAUAAAACUAUCAUAAAAACAAUCUCACAACAUUGUCUGGUAAAACAAACACCCUACAGAGGCUCACAACAAAUAUAUACUGUUUAUUUACACACAAAUAUACACAUCAUCGAUGUAGGAUGGUUUUGGCAAAUUUAAACAAAUAGUCGUUACACAAAAAUUAACAAACCAUGUAUUUUUAAAUAUUCAAAGAAGUAUGAUUUACAAUACAGACCAACUGACAAGGAUAUAAACAAUCAUUCAUUAACCUUGCAGCGAAGAAUUAAUACCAUCAUUUUAACUUAUAAUUAAGAAAAUAACAAGCAUUAUUUGUUUGAAUAUUAUAGUGUAUUACCCGUAAGUACACAAACUAAUAUCUAAAUUGCACACUAACUCUACAACAACUACUACUUUAAUUCUGAUCAGAUAAAAACCCUGAUAAUUUUGUAAUACCUCAUUCUUAAAAUUAUAACAUUUCUUAGUGCAAACAGAUACAGGUUCUAUUUUUAAAAUUGGUGCCAUUAACAUGAUUAAUGUUAUUUCAGUAAUGAAAACACACUGACAUUCUAUCUAUUUGGACCAUUGCCAAAAAAUACUGUCAAGUACAUAACUUGUAUGUUGCCCUGAAAAUUUCAUUUUUAAUAGUUUUAACAUAUUUCACUGCCAAGCAAUAGUUUAAAAAGAAAUUGUCAUUUAAUAAAAACUUAUGAAAAUUAUAACCUAUUAUGUCUUACAAUGUCUAAUGACAUUUUUUCAUGAUAAGGAAGUCUUUAUAUAGCAUGAUUCUGGACAUUUGUAGAAAAUUACUUCAAAUAUUGCACAUUUCUGAUAGAUAGGAAAGUCAAUUUUGAAAAUAAAUGAUUCCUGGGUUUAUGGUCCUAAACUUUACUCAAUUUUCAGGGUACAAAAUUUAUGCACAAAAUUGUAAAAUCCAGCACUUGAUUGGAGGAAUUCUGAGCCUAGUUACGAUAUGCAUACUCCAAUUCUUUAGGACCAUAACAAAUUGUUGUUUUAGUGUCAAACUUUAACAAGACAACAUUGAAUUGAUACUUUACAGUCAAACAUAUGGGAUCUAUAAAAUACAUACAUGUAUGUAACCUAUAUAUAAAAAGAAAACAAAAGUAGAAAAUAAAAUAUAAAAUUGACAACAGUAAAAAACUUUUGUAUAUAACUGUAUAUAGGUAUACUAAAACACAGGUGUCAUUUUAGCAAAUCUCAAUUUUUGAAAGGGAUCUCAACCUUACGGAAAUUUCUUAAUACAAGAUUUUCCCAUGACCCUAUUUCAUUUUUAUUUGAAGAGUUGACACCUUUGAAUGAAAAAUAUUGGUUUAUCUAAACAAAUCUGAUUAUAUUCAAAUACUGCCAGUAUCAAAUAGUUUGUAUUCUAAUCUAAUACUGUGAAAAACAUAAUAAACAUUUCCUCUAGUAAAUUAAUCUACUGAUACGUCAGAAGUGUAAAACUAAAUCUAUACUCAUGAUUAAUCAGAAGUCCAAAAUUAAAGCUUUACUUAACUCAUCAAAAGCGUUUAUCAUUUACCCGGUAAUAAAAUUUGAUUUUCCUACAUUUAAAUAAAACAAAAACAAAAACUUUGAUUGUCUGGCUGUUCCAUAAAAGAUACAUGGUACCAAGGGUAGGUAAUUUGAAAUUUGUGAACCAACAGUAGUCAUUUUUUUGAUUGAUUGUUUGUGUUUCAACACCACUUUCAGCAUUAUAGGCUAUAUAACUCCAACCAUAGAUGAGGUUUAGUAGUGGUCUAAUGUACAGGGGCGGAUCCAGCCAUUUCAAAAGGGGGGGGGGGGUUCCCAACCCAGGACUAAAGGGGGGGUUCAAACUAUAUGUCCCCAUUCAAAUGCAUUGAUCGUCCCAAAAAAAACCUCCCCCUGGAUCCGCCAAUGAUGUAUGUUUUUAUAUAUGGUACAGUCUUUAUCAUUUUAACAUACAUGUAUUACCAUGAACAUUGAUGAUUAUGGAUCUGAAUUUUGAUUUUGAUUAGAUUGUCACAUUUAUUAAUAUCAAUUAAUUGUGUUUCCUGAUCAACAACCACAAUUACAAAUGUUCAAUGGUUAAUGUCAUGUUUCAAUUUUACAAAUGAUUUACCAAAGAAUUAUAAAAUACAAAACAGCAGUACAGUUUAAAUUCAUCAAUAAAUGUUCUUACAACCAAAAAUAAAAAUCUUAAAAUAUCAUUUAUGGGCAUUUCAGGGCUUUUCUGCAGUGUUUUAAAUAAUAAUAAGCUUGCAAGAAAUUUUCGUGAUAUAGCGUAAAAUAUGGUAAAAAGCUGUGUGCCAAAGGUGGAGAUUGUCGAUAUAUAUAUAUAAUAUCAAAUAUAUGUCAAUUAUAUAAGUAUUAAAGGAAUCAUCGGAAUGCAACCGAAAUGAGGUUUGUAUAAAAGUUAAGAGGUUUAUGUUGAAAAAAAUAAACUACAACCAUUUUUUAUCAGCUGGUCAGCUUUAUAUAAAAAGUUAAAAAAAAAACACUGAAAUGUUUUGAAUACAUUAUGACCUUGAAAUAGCUAUGAAAGUCACAAGAAACACUGAAUUGUUUUGUAUACAUAAUGACCUUUAGGAAGCGUUGAAAGUCACAUGAAACACUGAAAUAGUUUGAAAACAUGACCUUGAAUUAGCUAUGAAAGUCACACACAUUGAAAAAAUCCUGUUAUGUUAUUCCAUGAAAUUGUAUAAAAACAUAUAUUUUUUUCAGUAGCACCUUUUUUUACAAUGAAAGCACUGUUAGUAUUAAGUUAACCAUGUUUUGGUUCAUCAGAAAUACUGAAUUUAUCUCCUACAUGGAUUAUUAAAAAAGGCAGAGGUAAAAAAAUCUUGACAUUUGUUUCAGAUUGAAAAUUAAGCCUUGGACCUUAAUAAUUCCAUUGAAAAGUGAUUAUAAAAAAGUAGAGCAAAUU
This 3023-nucleotide long non-coding RNA is filed under the name Mytilus galloprovincialis (Mediterranean mussel). The record is from RNAcentral. Lineage: Eukaryota; Metazoa; Mollusca; Bivalvia; Mytilida; Mytilidae.